CAAUAGCGUAUAUUAAAGUUGUUGCAGUUAAAAAGCUCGUAGUUGGAUUUCUGGUUGAAGCGACCGGUCGGGCGUUGAUUCGUCUGCACUGGAGUCGGUUUUGGCCAUCCUCUAGGAAAGUGCGUCUGGUAUUAAGUUAUCGGGCGUAUGAUCCUGGUCUUUUACUGUGAAAAAAUUAGAGUGUUUAAAGUAGGCCCUCGCCUUGAAUACAUUAGCAUGGAAUAAUAAGAUAGGACUUUGGUCUAUUUUGUUGGUUUGCAGACCGAAGUAAUGAUUAAUAGGGAUAGUUGGGGGUAUUUAUAUUCCGAUGUCAGAGGUGAAAUUCUUAGAUUUUCGGAAGAUAAACUUAUGCGAAAGCAUUUACCAAGGAUGUUUUCAUUA
RNAcentral lists this ribosomal RNA (381 nucleotides) under uncultured eukaryote. Its description in RNAcentral is "partial 18S ribosomal RNA". It matches the Rfam family "Eukaryotic small subunit ribosomal RNA", at positions 592 to 975 of the family's 1831-position model. The record is from RNAcentral.